UCUUCAACUUCAAAAUACACAAGGGACAGUCGAUCCGUGAUUACUGUCUGACUAUGAUCAAGGAUUUAGAGGAGCUUGAGAAGCUCGACUUACCUAUGUAGAAAGAAUUGCUGGUGGAUCUGAUCCUGCAAUCUCUUAUUAGUUCAUAUGGUCAAUUUAUAAUAAAUAAUUAUAUAAAUAAGUUGGACUACACCUUAAUCGAACUUAUCAACAUAUUGGAUACUAUAGAGGCGAUCUUGAAGUGUUCAAGGGGCUCCAUUCUCGCUGUGGAGCAGGCACCUUCCUUCAAAAGAAAGUCUCCUUAGAAGAAGAAAAAUAAGCAUAUGAAGAAGUAGAAAAAGGAGGAAAAACUAGAAGGACACUUCGAAGAAGGCUGCAAAUAAAGAAAAAUAUUUUCACUAUCAUACUAACGGCC
RNAcentral lists this long non-coding RNA (415 nucleotides) under Elaeis guineensis (African oil palm). Its description in RNAcentral is "long non-coding RNA (EGUI_LNC047578)". Lineage: Eukaryota; Viridiplantae; Streptophyta; Magnoliopsida; Arecales; Arecaceae. The record is from RNAcentral.